RNAcentral lists this unclassified non-coding RNA (3337 nucleotides) under Hevea brasiliensis (rubber tree). The record is from RNAcentral. Lineage: Eukaryota; Viridiplantae; Streptophyta; Magnoliopsida; Malpighiales; Euphorbiaceae.
UUUUUAUCAAUUCAAAAUAAUAUUUUAUUAUAUUAUUUAUAGAAAAUAAUAUAUACAGUAUAUUUGUGAAAUGUCGCUUUUUUGUUAAUUUAAUUUUUUUUUAUAAAUAAUUGAUUUACCAAAAUUCAUGAAAUAAAAUAUAUUUUAUAAUCUAUAUAUUUUUUUUAAAAUAAAGUAAUCAUAUAGAAACUAUCUCCAGGAGGCGAAUAUUGCAGAAUCAUUGGACAAUGAACACACUCCCAGGGCUUUCGCUGUCACAUCUGGAGAUGUUGAUCUUAUUGUCAUGUCAAGCAGGUUGUAAAAUUCUUGGCCCAUGUUUGUAUGCUUUCCUUAUCAACUUCACAACUUGCCUUUAGGGGAGGGAUCUGAUGUAGCAAGCUCUGCGUACAUUCUUGAUAUUGCAUUCUCAAAGUAUGCCUUUGCUUGAGGCCUUUUAAUCUUCAAUGUUGGAGUCACAAGACCAUUUUCCAUUAAAAAUGGUUCCAGCACUAGAGUCACAGCUUUUACAAAUUCAAAACCUUUCAGCUGCCAAAAGUAGAAGUUGGGAUCACAAAAUGUGCAAUUUAGCUAUUGAAGGGCCAAAACCUUUCCAUGGCCAGUGACAAUGAAGUACAAGUUCUAAAAGCAAGCAAGAACCUUUUUCUCUUUUCCAGUCUUAGUAAGCUCCCCAAGUAUGAAUUCUUUUGCCUUCAGAUUUUCACAAUGGGAUUUGAAGUCCCCUCCCAUGCCAUUCUCUUGUGCCCAAUUUUCUAGAGCUUGCUUAUUGGGGUUAACAACAGCAACAAGGAAUGAUUCAAAGCUAUUCCCAUAAACCCAUAUCUGAAAUUGACAAAUAGGACAAAUAACAAGAGUUGGACCAAUGAACAUCGCAAGCAGGCAAUAAUCUUAGACUGUUCAGACCUUAGAAGUGGAUGAAAUAGGAAAAGAGAAUUUAUUAUUUAGGUGACAAGAGGACUUGUCAACAGAAGAAGAGGACUGAGAAUCAGUAAUUGGCAUAUGUAGGAACUAUUCACUAUAGUUGGAUUAAAUAGAUCAGAAGCAUCAGAUAUGCAUACCGAAUCAAUACCAGAAGCAAGACCAUAAAUAUUCUCCAAGUUUUCAACUGCAACAUAUUCUCCUUGUGAAAGUUUAAAUAUGUUUUUCUUGCGGUCAAUAAUUUUCAAGCUCCCAUCUGGUUGCCAUUCACCAAUAUCUCCUGUGUGGAACCACCCAUCAAUCAGGACCUCCUUGGUAAGGUCUUCUCGUUUGUAGUAACCCGAAAACACGGUAUUCCCCCUUACACAAAUUUCACCACGUGGUGUGCUUGAAAGAGCAUCAUAAUUCAUUUCAGGGACAGAUUCUAGACAAACAUCCACGUUUGGCACAGGAGGGCCCACCGUACCAAGCAUUGGCAUUUCAUUUGGCAGCGAGACAAAUGUGCCCGCACAGGUUUCUGUAAGACCAUAUCCUUGCAAAACAUGAGCACAUGAGACCACCCGCAGGAAAGCUUCUACAUGGAUAGCAAGAGGUGCUGCUCCAGAUAGAAUAAGCCUUACAUUUCCUCCCAAGCCUUGUUUUACCUUAUCAAAGACGAUUUUGUCACAAAGUGGAGAUGCCUUGUCAUGUGAAUGCCCCUUCUUCAUAGAAUUUAAUUUGCUGCAAAAUAAUUGUUGUCAAACUAAUUAGAAUGAGAUGGCAAAAUAGCAAGAAAAUACAAACAAUAACUAAAAAAGAAACCUAGGUAAAACCACCAUGAAAAUUGAAUUUCUUCGACAUGUUAAAGGUAUGACACGAAAUCUCACAAAAGUUUAGUUACACGUACAAAACAAAUAUAGAAUUCCAACCAUAUUGCGUGAGGAAAAAAGAAGCCAAUAACAGUGAGUAAACUAAGUUUGCCAAUAAACAGCACUUCUGUAGUACAUGAAAUAAUGUCAUACCAGAAGGAAGGAAAUGGAAAAUAGGUGGGACUUUCAUCAUUCUCCCUUCUCUUCUGUUUGGGAUUGACUUUUCUAUAGGCAUAUUAAAGAAUACAACUUACUAAGAGUAUGCUAUAUUGAACAACGUCUGUUUUAAGAAGCCCCCUGAAGCAAUCUUCUGGGUCAAACCUGAAUAUAUUCUAUCUAAUACACGGGGCACAGCACAGAAAAUAGUUGGUUUGAGCUCCCCAAUGUCUUCAAUUAAUAAUUUGACAUCCCCUCUCCAGAACCCUAUAGAGGCACCAUGUGAAAUAAAUAGCUCUUCAAUCACUCGAUCAAAGAUAUGAGCAAGAGGAAGGUAUGAAAGAUAUACAUCCUUUGUAGUCAACUGUUCAUUUACACUCUCAAGCAGUCUUUUCACCCCAGCUAUAAUAGUAACAAUACUAUCAUUUGAAAUCAAUACUCCCUUCGGAUCACCAGUUGUCCCACUGGUAUACAUUAUUGUACAGAUAUCACUUUUCUUUUUCACUGGGAGAUCAUAAUGUUUAUCUUCACCCAGUUUUAAAAACUCCUCCCAAGAAUAUACUGCUAAACCAAACUUCUCGAUCUCUUCUCUUUGUUCAGGUGCAACAUUGCCAAAGCUCACAAUUGUUUUCAUGUACUGUGUUGAGUUUGGAAAUGUUUUCAACAGCUCAGCAAUUUUUUUUUCUUCUACAAAUGCAAUUGAGACCUCUGCAUGGCAUAUGAUAUAUUCCACAGCACCAGCUCCUAAAGUGUCAUAUAAGGGAACACAAAAAAGCCCAUGAGCAUUGCAGGCCUCCAUGCUCAUUAUCCACUCCGGGCAAUUGGCACCAUAAAUACCACAUUUCCCUCCCGGCUCAACACCACAACUCCGAAUUGAAUUACCAACUUUGAUCACCAAGUCGUAUACUUGUUUGUAAGUUUGCCACGCGUAUUUACCAGCCAUCCCAUUCACAGUCUCUCGGCGACCAAGCAUGGGAUUGUUAGGAUAUUUCUCCACGCUUAUACGAAAAACAUCCCAGCAACUAUCCAUUCCAGGAAUCGGAGGAGGAAAUCCAUCCUUAGCGAAGACACUGCGAUAGACAGGACCAACAGAAGGCCUUCCAUCCUUGGCCUCCUUGGCUUUCUCGACCUCUAUUAGAUAAUUCCUCUGCGCCAUUUAUCUGUGAGCAAACGAACGAGUCCUUGGUAAGUCGUUCAGUGUAGAUAUUUAUAUGUAUAUGUCGAUCUAUACGUAGAUGUGUGGAGGAAAAAACAAAGAAAGAGGAAGGAGAUAGAAGAAUAGAAAGUGGGUGGGUGUGGGUGGCCGGAGAGGAGAACUACGUCAAUUUGAAAAACAAGUUUCUGUUUUUUGUUUGGAAUUAGAAGAUGGUUUUUGACUUUUCAGAAAGAGGCAGGAGACCAAACCCAACUCCAGUUUU